RNAcentral lists this signal recognition particle RNA (308 nucleotides) under Vombatus ursinus (common wombat). RNAcentral's name for it is "Metazoan signal recognition particle RNA (ENSVURG00010004903.1)". It matches the Rfam family "Metazoan signal recognition particle RNA". From Rfam's summary of the family: The signal recognition particle (SRP) is a universally conserved ribonucleoprotein. It is involved in the co-translational targeting of proteins to membranes. The record is from RNAcentral. Lineage: Eukaryota; Metazoa; Chordata; Mammalia; Diprotodontia; Vombatidae.
AGGUACAGUGGCAUAUACCCUCACCUAAGCUACCAGGGAGGUUGGUGGAUCUCUUGAUCUUGAGAUUUUGAUCUAUAGGGACUAUGCUGAUCAGGGAUCUAUAUUAAAUUUGGCAUUAAUAUAGUGAGUCCUGGGAGGGGGAGGGAGGGAGGAGUGAGAGUCGAGAGGGACCAGGUUGCCUAAGAAGAGGCAGACUAGUCCAGGUCAGAAAUGGAGCAGGUCAGAGUUUGCAUGCUGAUUAUAGUAGGAUAAGGCCAGUGAGUAGCCCCUGCACUUCUAGCAUGGGCAAGAUAGUGAGGCCUAGUCUU